This is a non-coding RNA of Trichonephila inaurata madagascariensis, 77 nucleotides long. NCBI's taxonomy places the organism in Eukaryota, Metazoa, Arthropoda, Arachnida, Araneae, Nephilidae. The record is from the annotation of a GenBank genome assembly.
GGUUUCCCGAAUUGUAGUGGUUAUCACGUUGGGGCUUCACACGCGAAAGGUCUCCGGUUCGACCCCGGACGGAACCA